This 3913-nucleotide long non-coding RNA is filed under the name Equus caballus (horse). RNAcentral describes it as "lncRNA (ENSECAG00000057840.1)". The record is from RNAcentral. Lineage: Eukaryota; Metazoa; Chordata; Mammalia; Perissodactyla; Equidae.
GUAAAUCAGCGUCUGCAAUUCUGAGCAUGUCUUUGUGACUUUCAGUCAGAGCUCUGUAAUGUUCACCUCUUGUUUGGUUCCCAGCACCCAUUUCCCUUCUCCUUGGGAACAGCAACCCAAAUAUUCUUUGGGAAAACAUCCUUUCUCAGCCACCUAGCUUGGCUCCACCCCCAUCUUCAUAAGUAGAUCCUUUUUGGCCUAGGUCCUUCAACUCAUCCUAUCCCCUUGGCCACAGAGCCAAUGACGUAUGAGGAGAUAUUUACCGGGCCUUCUGGAAGAGAGAGGCUUUUCUUCUUUGAGAGGGACCAAAGGAGAUAUUCUCUGUUCUCCUUUGUAUGGCAUGUAUAUGUAGGAAGACGUGAGGUCUGGAACUGUAGCAACAAUUUUUUGAUUAUAAGGAGAGAGUCUGGAGCUUCCUGGCAUUACCAUGUGGAGCCCGAGGAUAAAACCAUGACCAAAGAAGACAGUGGUGAAGCAGAGAGAAACUGGGUCCUUGGUGACAUCAUUUGAGCCACUAGACCAAGCCUUACCUGAAAUAGUCCUACCUCUGGACUUUUCAGCUAUGUAAGCCAAUAAACAUCUUUUGUUAAACUAGUUAGAUUUGAGUUUUCUGUCAUUUAUAACUUAGUCAUACCGAUAGAGGCUUAUAUUUGAAAGCACUGUGUUUUCGUACAACACCUUAAUGUCACAUUUUUUCUUGCUUAGUAGUCCCACCAGAUCCUCAUUUGUAUCUCAUCUCAGUUGCUUAGAGCUUGAGUGUCUAAAUAGGUGCCUCUCAUGCCCUAAACUUGAUUUCACGAAUACCACCGGACUGAUGUUUUGUCAGACCAUAGCAUACCUUCCAAACUUGAUGAAAAUAUACUGUCAGUUCCAGAUUCUAGUGGAUAACUUCCUAUCUCUUUGAAGUCUCUUCCAGGCUCCCCUACCCUACCUAGGUGAAUUUUGGGUUUGCUGUGUCACCCACAUUUUAAGUGAGAUAAUUAUGGCAUAACCAGGCAUUGAUUUAUAUCUGCUAGAGGCUUUGUUUUAUUGAACAAUGGUCCAAUGCUUGUUGAGAAGGACAAAGUCCAGACCUACAGAAGAUUCCCUGAAGUUGAAAGUCACUUCUCAGCCCAGUGAUUGAGAUGUAAAUUAUAGGGUGAAAGUUACUUUCUUACUUUAUCAAAAAGAGAAAACAAUAAGAAUCAGCUUUGACCAUUUUUUCCACAAAAGAAGGACCAUAUUUGUCUAGUGUGAGUGAUACAGGUUUUGGGGUUAUGCAACUGCAUGUUUUCAGCCUUCACCCCCAUUUCCAGCAUACCUAGUCCAAGUUGGACUCAAGUGUGCUUGGCAUGAAUGAGGCUUGAGACCCAAUACCGUCUGAUUUCCUCUAUGUUGUACCCACUAAAGUUGACAAACAGUCACUCAUUCAUUUUCACGUAUAUAACAAAUAGAAACUUUAUUCUGUGGAUAACAUAAAAAGCAAUGAGAAAGAAUUGGUGUGAGAGAAGAAGCCGAAAAGUAAAUUUGUUUAUCAAUCAACUGGUGUCUCAGGUAGUAUCCUAUAGCGAUUUCUUUUCCCCUCAGAUGAGUUCCCUGCUCACCAGGAGUGCCUUGUGGAGAGGCUGACAUGGGCUUUUGACUGGCCCCCUUCUCUCUGAGAAAAUAUUAAUUCUGAAUGGAUGGGAUCUAACCAUCAGGCCCCAAUACAUUUUAUUAUUUUCCUGGGAGGCUCAAAGGAUAAUCAAGCAAAUGGAGCUAAGCUCCCCUGAUCGUCUGCCCCAGGGAUGACAGAUCAGAUUCCCUGACGUUCCUUUGAAAAAUGCAAGGGUGUGUGAAGAGGAAACAAGAAAAGGAGGGGAGUGGUAUUUGUGGGAAAUUGGUGGCAAAUAACACUAAAAACAAACAAACCAGGAUGUAUAAAGUGAAACUAUUCUGAAAAGGUAACAGACGUACUGGAGGGAAGCCACUAAUGAUGCUAAUAUGGAAACUGAAAAUCGACUCAGGUCAUACACUAGAGGUGGGCAUGAUCCAUCCAUAGAGCCUUGAUGCCGGCUCGACCUGCAGACGGGCUGGAGGCUGGUGCCCUGUGAGGUGGGAGUUGUUCUGAAAGACCAGUUGCGGUUCUUGACGGCUACUCUAUUUCCUCUCUGUUCACUCAGCCCAUAGCAAUUGGCUGCUACUCCUGUCAAAUUCCUUGAGCUGUGGUUUCUUUGGCUUCAUCCUCUACAGCAUGUAUCCCUGUUGAUAAUUUGGAAUGUCCUUGAAAGUGUCCUCUUGACUCUUGGGACACCACUUUCUCCUGAUGUUCCUGACCUGUUAGUUCCUGCCUCCUUUGAGUUUCCUUCACUUCUGUCCACCCUUUAAAGAUAAGUAGUCCUCCUAAAUAUCCAAUCUUGUCCCUCCUCUAAGUCUGUACAGUGUCACUAGGUGACAAGAUUAUUCUCCCAUUUGGGUUAAACUACAUCUAGAUGCCAUAUGUACAAAAAUGCAUUUAUUAUUCUUACCCACAGGUACACAUUAACCUCUGUUUUCUCCACCACCCAUCCAGUCCUCCAAGCCAGGAACCUCAUGGAAACCUCAGCUUCUCUCUAUCCUGCACCCUUAUAAGCAGUCUGACCAGGUUUUAGUGAUUCCAUUUCACAAAUGCAGCAAGUCUGUCACUUCCUUUCCACCUCCUCUGCUCUACUUCACUUGGUUAUCAUCUUAGAGUUUUGUGAUAGCUACUGUCUUUUCAAUCCCCUCUCUCAUUCGAAGGUGAAGAAUUUUUUUUCCCUGAGGAAGAUUCAACCUCAGCUAACAUCUGUUGCCAGUAUUCCUCUGUUUUGUGUGUGGGUCACCACCACAGCAUGAUCACUGACAGACGAGUGGUGUAGGUCUGUGCCCAGGAACUGAACUGGGGCUGCCAAAGUGGAGCAUGCUGAACUUAACCACUAGGCCACCAGGGCUGGCCUAAGAAAAAAAUUUUUUUAAAUGAGAGUCUAAUUAUUUAAUGAUUAACUAGGAAAAUCUUUUAAUGCUUCUCUAUUGCCUAUAAAACAAAAUCCAAAUUCCUUGGGUGAAUAUUCAAAACUGUAGUACUGAUUUGUUUUAAUCUAUGGUUUUACUCUAUCUCCCUUUGAUCUCCCACUUAGGUCUCAACUACAACCUCACUUUUCUGCUUCUAAUUCUCAACCAUGUCUUGCUCUUUCAAGAAAUGAGUGACUGCAUCUAUAUAGGUCAGUGGUUGUUGACUGAAGGUGAUUUUACUGCACUCUCCCAGAGGACAUUUGGCAAUGUUUAGAGACUUUUUGUUGUUGUUAAAGUUGGGGAAUGGGGUGCUACUAGUAUCUAGUGGGUAGAGGCCAGGGAUGCUGCUAAAUAUACUACAACACACAGGGCAGUCCCCCACUGAAAAGAAUUAUCUGAUGCCAAAUGCCAAUAGUGCUGCUGUUAAGAAAAUCUUGUAUAGGUCAACCACAUCUGGAAGUGUGUUGAUCAUUUCUUUGAGUCUUUAGAAACUUGCUACAAAGGAGGAACAAGUUUCAGCAUGAAGAGAACACUAGAAUGGAAACAUAAAUUUAUGGAGAGGAAGACUUUUUGUUCAUAGUGGUUGAGCAAAUCAGUUGCGAAAUCAGUUGUACUCUGCCAACCUGCAAAGCUAAUUUUCUCCUCUUGGUCAAAGUGAGUGCAAGAAAUAGAAAUGAAGAUAUUCAGGGGCUGGCCCGGUGUCACAGCAGUUAAGUUCACACAUUCUGCUUCAGCGACCCGGGAUUCGCCAGUUUAGAUCCUGGGUGGGAACGUGGCACCACUUGGCAAGCCAUGCUGUGGUAGGCGUCCCACAUAUAAAGUACAGGAAGAUGGGCACAGAUGUUACCUCAGGGCCAGUCUUCCUCAGCAAAAGGAGGAGGAUUGGUGGCAGAUGUUAGCUCAGGACUAAUCUUCCUCAAAGAAA